This 253-nucleotide ribosomal RNA is filed under the name uncultured prokaryote. Its description in RNAcentral is "partial 16S ribosomal RNA". It matches the Rfam family "Bacterial small subunit ribosomal RNA", at positions 525 to 777 of the family's 1533-position model. The record is from RNAcentral.
ACGUAGGGUCCGAGCGUUAAUCGGAAUUACUGGGCGUAAAGCGUGCGCAGGCGGUCUUGUAAGCCAGAUGUGAAAUCCCCGGGCUCAACCCGGGAACUGCGUCCGAUACUGGUUGGCUUGAAUCCGGGAGAGGGAUGCGGAAUUCCAGGUGUAGCGGUGAAAUGCGUAGAUAUCGGAAGGAACAUCAGUGGCGAAAGCGGCUUCCCGGACCAGUACCGACGUUCAGGCACGAAAGCGUGGGGAGCAAACAGGA